Serendipita sp. 399 is the source of this 73-nucleotide non-coding RNA. NCBI's taxonomy places the organism in Eukaryota, Fungi, Basidiomycota, Agaricomycetes, Sebacinales, Serendipitaceae. The record is from the annotation of a GenBank genome assembly.
AGCGAAAUAGUGUCAAUUGGUAAAAUACUAGCCUCAUGAGCUAGGGUUAUAGGUUCGAGUCCUGUUUUCGCUU